GUAGCUUAAUGACAGAGAGCUUCUACAUUUCAGUGACCAUUAACUACAGUCAUAUUUUAAAAUUUUAUUCCAAAAUUGUUCUGAAUUCUGAAUUCUGAAUUACUGAUAGGUUAUAUAUACUUUUUUUCUAAUUCUUUGUAUUUCAUUUUCAGCAAGAAAAUUGUGUCAAGAAAGGAAAUGGACCUCUAUUCUGAAAGUUUUAAUGCUUGAAGCAAUGAGCAAUUUUGAAUGUGGUUGACUGGUGCUGAUUUUUAAGAUACGAUCGAAAUGGAGGCAUUUGGACAUACAUACACAUGAACAAGCAUUGAACAGAGGGAUUCUGACCAUGCAGGCAAAUGGGAUGAGGUGGUCUAAAGCCGUGUGGAGAGCCAUUGAAACAACAUACAUCAAAGUUGCUGGUGAACGCAGCAGGCCAGGCAGCAUCUAUAGGAAGAGGCGCAGUCGACGUUUCAGGCCGAGACCCUUCGUCAGGACUAACUGAAGGAAGAAUUCCAGGUAUUUCCCUGAACUAUUUUGAAAUAUGAUGAUUUGCAUAUCUAAGAAGCAAAUGUAUUCAGGAAACCCUGUAUCCUUUCUAAGAAUGUUAUUUAUUUCUCGGACUUAAACAAAAUUAUAUGGGAGCAUCUUACAUGAUCGAAUAGCCCUCACUGAGUAUUAAUCAUGUCCAAAACUCUGAAAGCAAGCUGAAGCUGAUGAGAAGACAUCAUCAAAGAAAAACACGACUAACUUUGAUUUAAUGAGUCCUCUUACCUCUAACAUGUCAUGAAUUCAAAUUGAUUAGAAUUUGUUCUCUGUGUUAUGUAAGCUCUUGAGAUUUUCUUGGUAGGCACUUUUUUGUUGACAGCAGUUAAGUCAGGGUUAUGUAUAAUCAGAUAAUUGCAGAAUGAUACAGCGCAGAAAUGUGAGAAGGUUUGAAGGUAUUCAAGGCAGAAUUAAAAACAGCUUUCUAAGCACAACAGCUUCAUACAGCAACUGCCUUGUGGCAGGACCUGUGUCUGAGAGCGAGGAACAAACCGAAGUUUGGCUGAUUUAAGCACGGCCAGGUUGAAAAGGUCAGGGUGUCGGGGCUGGAGGCGAGGGACAGCUUGCUACUCCACGAGUCUUAUUCGCCUCUACGCUGAACGGAGACAUCGGCAACGAAUGGGCUCCUGGACUGGCUGCGCUGAUGGACAGGCUUUAUGGCUGUGGACUCACUUUGGUGAACUUUAGUUCUGAGUGUUAUUUGUUUGCUUUCCAUUGCUUGCACAAUUCAUUCUUUUCCCCACACAUUAUGGGUUUUAUCAGUCUUUUUUAAUGGGUUUCUUUGUUUUUGUGGCUGCUAUAAGAAGAUGAAUUUCAAGGUUGUAUGUAGCAUACAUAAUUUGAGAGCAAAUGCAUUUGAACCGUGACUGCAAGAAACUGCAGGGACUUGUGAAGCAAGCUUGGCACAUCUCGAAAACCAAUCUCCUUGCUUGGACUCUGUCUGUAAUUCUUGCUACCUCAGUAAAGCAGCCAGUAUAAUCAAAGACCCCAGACACCCUGAACGUUCUUCUCUCCUCUCCCAUCAGGUAGAAGAUACAGAAGCCUGACAGCACAUACCAUCAGGCUCAAGGACAGCUUCUAUACCACUGUUGUUAGACUCUUCGAAUGGACUUCAUGUAUAAGAUGGACUCGACCUCACAAUCAACUUUGUUAUGAUCUUGCACUUUAUCAUUUACCUGCACUGCACUAUUUAAGUAGCUUUUAAACUUUAUUCUGUGUUGUUACUGUUUUAACAGAUUCAUUUUAAAGUUGAAAUCAUUUUAAUACAGCUGUUAUAGUCUUGAUGAUUUCUUAUUAUUUGUUGAUUUCUAUUGUGCUAAAGAUGUCAACACUGGUGGGUGUGGGUAUUAAUUUCCUGUACCACACACUAAUUUGCAUAUCAAUUUGAUUCUUAUAACUGCUUGCUGUUUCUGUAAGAAUAACCACAUCAGCAUGAAUGCCUUUUACUGCAAAGGAUGCUGGGAAAGGUGCAGCGUAAUACUUGCAAUUGAGGAAGUGCCCUGUCUGUAGGAUUCUGCUUUACUUUCACUGACUAGACUUGGCUUGUGUCACUGAAAAUUGGACAACUUACUGUAUAUCUCCAAGUUACCGGUCCAUUAUCAGCCAAGUCAUUCUUGAAUGUUGACUACAUCUUAGUUUUAGGGGGUAUUUUUCCGAAGAUGUUUCACAACUCAAUUUUCAGGUCUAUUGGAUUUUUAGUUGAAAGUCAAUGAAAAUGAAAAGCUUACAAAGUAUAGCUUAGCUUUUGCAUUGUGAUAUAUGUGUAUGCAAAUUAUGUCAUUGUACAUGGGAUUUAAACACAUGAUUUACUAAACAUGACAGAUUCUGCAGAUGCUGGAAAUCCAGAGCAACACACACAAAAUGCUGGAUGAACUCAGCAGGCCAGGCAGCAUCUAUAAACGUGACAUUUCGGGCCAAGACACCUCUUCAAGAUUGGAACUGAAGAUGACAGAGUAAAAAGGUGAGGGGAGGGAAAGGAGGACAGUUAGAAGGUGAUAGGUGAAGCCAGGUGGGUAGGAAAGGUAAAGGGCUGGACAGGAAGUAAUGUGUUAGGACAGAAAAGUGGAUGAUAGGAGAAAGGGAAGGAGGAGGGGACCCAGAUGGAGGUGAAAGGCAGGUGAGAAGAGGUAAGGGGUCAGAAUGGGGAAUAGAAAAAGAGAGGAGGUGCAGAGAAACAUUUUUUUUUACCAGAAGGAGAAAUUGAUGUUCAUGCCAUCAAGUUAGAGGCUACCCUGGCAGAAUAUACGCUGUUGCUCCUCCACCCUUUGGGUGGCCUCAUCAUAGCAUAAAAGGAGGCCACGGACCAACAUGUUGGAACAGGAUUGGGAAUCGGAAUUAAAAUAUUUGGCCACCAGGAAGUUCCGCCUUUGCUGGAUGGAGAGGUGGGGUUUGACAAAGUGGAUCCCCCAUUUACAACGGGUGUCACCGAUGUAGAGGGGGCUGCACCAAAAGUACUGGACACAAUAGAUGACCCCAGAAGAUUCGCAGGCAAAGUGUUGUCUCACCUGGAAAGACAGUGGAGGUGGGGCAGGAGGUGAAUGGGCAGGUAUAGAUCUUUGGCCACUUGCAGUGAUAAAUGCCGGAAGGGAGAUAGUGGGGAGGGACGAUGGACAAGGGAGUCACAGAGGGAGCAUAGUAAUACAUGUUUUAGUAGUUGUUAAUCUGCAGAUCAUUGUACAGGCAUGUUUUGAAGAUCCUGGUGUCCUCUGGGGACGAUUAUCUGCUUAUACUAAAGGUCCAUCUUAAAAUACACUUCUGUUGCUAUCAGUUACAACAAUAGCUGUUAUCCCGCUCUAGAAAGUCAAGUGCACUGCUUUGAAGAAACUCUCCAAAGCACCCAGUGAGCACUGCUGAAGGGCAGCACUUACCACAGUGUUGCAUGUUUAAUAUUUCAGUAAUAUUGUAAGUAUAUUGUUUGGGGCCUGCUGGUGGUGCAAUGAUAUCAGUGCCGGACUCUGGAAAGGAGGUUCCCGGGUUCGAACACAGUCGGGUCCGCUCCCAUGUAUGCUUUCCAUCUGGGCCGGGUUGAGUGUUGAGAUCGCAACUCGACCUCGUAAAAUAAAGGGAAGAAUACUGUGAAAGUGUCUGUGUGAGGAGUGACGUGACACACGGUCUCUCUCUGGCUCCGCGCCUUGUAAAGGCAUGGAAAAGACAUCGUCCCGCCAACAUCGCACACGCACGCAUUCACAUAUGCACACGGAGAAAAAAAAAGUAAAUAUAUUGUUUGAUUAAGCAUUCUUCGUUGUUACAUAAUCACUCUGGGUUUAAAUGUGAACGGCUGUAAUGAUAUCACCAUAUUAUAAGUGCAUGCGCCUCAUGAGAAGUAAAGA
Molecule: long non-coding RNA, 3851 nt
Organism: Mobula hypostoma (lesser devil ray)
Lineage: Eukaryota; Metazoa; Chordata; Chondrichthyes; Myliobatiformes; Myliobatidae
Exons: 4
Source: RefSeq, a predicted model, not a curated record